AUGGGAAUAAAGUAUUCCACGUGUGGAAUUUUGUAUGUACCAUAUGAAUAAGGAUCGGCUAACUCCGUGCCAGCAGCCGCGGUAAUACGGAGGAUCCGAGCGUUAUCCGGAUUUAUUGGGUUUAAAGGGAGCGUAGGUGGAUUGUUAAGUCAGUUGUGAAAGUUUGCGGCUCAACCGUAAAAUUGCAGUUGAAACUGGCAGUCUUGAGUACAGUAGAGGUGGGCGGAAUUCGUGGUGUAGCGGUGAAAUGCUUAGAUAUCACGAAGAACUCCGAUUGCGAAGGCAGCUCACUAGACUGUCACUGACACUGAUGCUCGAAAGUGUGGGUAUCAAACAGGAUUAGAUACCCUGGUAGUCCACACAGUAAACGAUGAAUACUCGCUGUUUGCGAUAUACAGUAAGCGGCC
RNAcentral lists this ribosomal RNA (407 nucleotides) under uncultured Bacteroidota bacterium. RNAcentral describes it as "bacterial SSU rRNA". It matches the Rfam family "Bacterial small subunit ribosomal RNA", at positions 440 to 848 of the family's 1533-position model. The record is from RNAcentral. Lineage: Bacteria; Pseudomonadati; Bacteroidota.